Molecule: ribosomal RNA, 242 nt
Filed under: uncultured Actinomycetales bacterium
Lineage: Bacteria; Bacillati; Actinomycetota; Actinomycetes; Actinomycetales
Description: partial 16S ribosomal RNA
Rfam family: Bacterial small subunit ribosomal RNA
Source: RNAcentral
GCUCGAGUGGCGAACGGGUGAGUAACACGUGGGUGAUCUGCCCUGCACUUCGGGAUAAGCCUGGGGAAACUGGGUCUAAUACCGGAUAGGAGCCAUUUUUAGUGUGAUGGUUGGAAAGUUUUUCGGUGUAGGAUGAGCUCGCGGCCUAUCAGCUUGUUGGUGGGGUAAUGGCCUACCAAGGCGGCGACGGGUAGCCGGCCUGAGAGGGUGGACGGCCACAUUGGGACUGAGAUACGGCCCAG